RNAcentral lists this ribosomal RNA (1268 nucleotides) under Pteronarcella badia. RNAcentral's name for it is "16S ribosomal RNA". The stretch from base 556 to 1268 matches the Rfam family "Archaeal large subunit ribosomal RNA", at positions 1423 to 2816 of the family's 2987-position model. The record is from RNAcentral. Lineage: Eukaryota; Metazoa; Arthropoda; Insecta; Plecoptera; Pteronarcyidae.
AAAAUUUAAAAUUUACGUGAAUUAGAGUGUAAAUGGGUUUAGUUAAUAAAAUCAAUUUUUUUUAAAAGGAGUUUUUGUAUAGGUUAUAGAUUAAAAUUUUUAAUGUGAUAGUUAAAUUGUAUUGUGAGAGGUUAUUGAAAUAUAUUGAAAAUGUAAUUUAAAUAAAGUAGAUUUAGUUUAUUGUACCUUGUGUAUCAGGGUUUAUCUAAAAAUUUAUAGUUAUUUAUAGAUCCCGAUUUAAAGAGAGUUAACUAUUUUUUGUUUGGUUUUUCAAGAAAUGAAUUUAAUUCAGUUAUUAAAUUUAUUUAUCUAAUUAGUUAGUUAAAUAUAGUUUAAUAAAAAUGUAUUGGGGGAUAAGCUUCAAUGCAUUAUUUAUAAAUUAGUAUUUUUUGUAGGAAUUUUGUAGGUUUAGAAUUAGCCACCAAUUAAAGGAUGUUAUAAUUUAUUUCUUGCGGAAUAUAAUUUUAAAAUAAAAUUUAAAUAGUAUAUUGAAAUAUAAUCUUGAAUUUAAUAAGGUUAGUAAUAAUGAUAAAAUUAGUAUAAAUAAGUUGUUGAUUGAAAUGUAAUUGAAAGGUUAUAUUAAGGAAUUAGGCAAAUUAAUGCUCGCCUGUUUAACAAAAACAUGUCCUCUUGAUUAUAAUAUGGGGUCUGACCUGCCCACUGAAUUUUACAUUUAAAGGGCCGCGGUAUUUUGACCGUGCAAAGGUAGCAUAAUCAUUAGUCUUUUAAUUGAAGGCUGGAAUGAAUGGUUGGACGAGGUAUUGACUGUCUCAGUGUGAUUGAAAUUAGAAUUUAACUUUUGAGUCAAAAGGCUUAAAUAUUUUUAAAGGACGAGAAGACCCUAUAGAGCUUGAUAUUUAAAGAUUAUUACUUAUUUAGAAAAAGGUAUUUUUAUAGUAAUCGGUGAAGUAUUUUGUUGGGGUGACAGGAAGAUAAAAGAAACUCUUUUUUAUCAUUAAACAUUGAUGUAUGAAUUUUUGAUCCAUUAUUAGUGAUUAUAAGACUAAGUUACCUUAGGGAUAACAGCGUAAUCUUUUUCGAGAGUUCUUAUCGACAAAAAGGGUUGCGACCUCGAUGUUGGAUUAAGGGUAAUUUUGGGUGUAGAUGUUCAAAGUUUAGGUCUGUUCGACCUUUAAAUCCUUACAUGAUCUGAGUUCAGACCGGUGUAAGCCAGGUCGGUUUCUAUCCUUAAUAGCUUGUAAUGUUUUAGUACGAAAGGACCAGGCAUUAGGAAAAAUUUUUCUUGAAUAUUGAUUUAUAUUAAGUAG